Molecule: unclassified non-coding RNA, 351 nt
Filed under: Hevea brasiliensis (rubber tree)
Lineage: Eukaryota; Viridiplantae; Streptophyta; Magnoliopsida; Malpighiales; Euphorbiaceae
Source: RNAcentral
AAAAAAAAAAAAAAAAAAAGCUAUUCAGAAUCAAAGCCAAUUUGACCUGGUAUAUAUGAAGAUUUGAAAAUUGUUAGACUUAGCAUUUUAGGACCAUUGAAAAUCUGAUUUGCAAUUGGAAUUUGAAUUGGCAUUAAGGACAUUUUUAACAGAGCCUAGGGUUUGUUGAGUGUGUCUAAUUUGCAUCUAAUUCCAAUUUGGAGUCUAGCUAUUUCUUAUUUUUAGUGUCACCUUACAAUUUCUUCUAUCCGUUUUGUUCCAUAAAUUGUCACUCGAGUAUAGCUUAAGAAAAUUUGAGUUCAAAAAUGGAAUUUGGUUCAAGAACAAUUGAGUGGUAAAAGGCAAGAGUGU